Molecule: ribosomal RNA, 465 nt
Filed under: Vreelandella stevensii
Lineage: Bacteria; Pseudomonadati; Pseudomonadota; Gammaproteobacteria; Oceanospirillales; Halomonadaceae
Description: partial 16S ribosomal RNA
Rfam family: Bacterial small subunit ribosomal RNA
Source: RNAcentral
CCUACGGGUGGCAGCAGUGGGGAAUAUUGGACAAUGGGGGCAACCCUGAUCCAGCCAUGCCGCGUGUGUGAAGAAGGCCCUCGGGUUGUAAAGCACUUUUAGUGAGGAAGAACGCCUGGUGGUUAAUACCCAUCAGGAAAGACAUCACUCACAGAAGAAGCACCGGCUAACUCCGUGCCAGCAGCCGCGGUAAUACGGAGGGUGCGAGCGUUAAUCGGAAUUACUGGGCGUAAAGCGCGCGUAGGUGGUUUGAUAAGCCGGUUGUGAAAGCCCCGGGCUCAACCUGGGAACGGCAUCCGGAACUGUCAAGCUAGAGUGCAGGAGAGGAAGGUAGAAUUCCCGGUGUAGCGGUGAAAUGCGUAGAGAUCGGGAGGAAUACCAGUGGCGAAGGCGGCCUUCUGGACUGACACUGACACUGAGGUGCGAAAGCGUGGGUAGCAAACAGGAUUAGAUACCCCAGUAGUC